RNAcentral lists this long non-coding RNA (1477 nucleotides) under Gallus gallus (chicken). RNAcentral describes it as "long non-coding RNA NONGGAT006628". The record is from RNAcentral. Lineage: Eukaryota; Metazoa; Chordata; Aves; Galliformes; Phasianidae.
CCUUCCCCCAAACCUUAUUUCUACAGUAACGUUUUCCUGUCGUUUUAGUUCUCUGAACAUGUCCCAGAAGGAUCCCUGCCAGAAACAAGCCUGUGAAAUACAGAAAUGCUUGCAAGCGAACAACUACAUGGAGUCUAAGUGCGAAGCUGUGCUUCGGGAGAUGAGGAAGUGCUGCGCCCGGUACCCCGAGGGCAGAUCCAUCUGUUGUUCAGGUUUUGAGAAGGAAGAGAGAGAAAAGCGUAAAGCUGCUUCAGAAGGAAUUCCCCCACCACCUCAGUAAUACAAAGCAGCUCCAGCAGGUGCCAGAGCACGGACUCACCUGCGGAGCUCAGGUGUGUGUUUUUGAGCCUUCUCUAGACUUUCUGGAAAGCCAGAGGGCUCCUAGAACACAGCACCCCGUGCACCAAAAAGCAUAACGCAGUACCAAGAGAUGGCCUGGUUAACAGACUUUAUUUUCUGUACCAAAACUUCAUCUACGUUGUCCUUGCAUUGCAUCCGUGUCUGUGAAAAAUCAAUCCGAUGUGUUUAGAAUGCUUACCUUACUCUAACCCAUCCUUGCUCUCAAAACGGAGGGCUGGAACCAAGUUACUGUGGCUUCUGGAGGGGGAGGUACAGGAAAUGUGCUCUUAAGAGUGAGCUUAAGCGUGACACAUGAAAACAAAGUCCAUUUUGACACAGCAAAGGCAUUGCUGCCGUCGGGCAGCAGUUCCAGGCAACAUUCACCUGUCCAGUGGUUCAAGCUCAAGAAGGGGAAUCGGGUCUGGGUUUGUUCCCAGGUCUUGCAUAGCUCACGGUGGCCACGCGUCACUCUGCCUAAGUGCCUCACUUUCCCACUGGACAGAGUUUAGAUGGCUUUCUAUUUGAAUUGCCUACACGCUGCUAUUUGCAUGACAAUAAAGAUGUUACAGGAACAUUAUUUCAGGGAUUGCUACAGGAAUAGGAUCUUUUUUUUAAAAAAAAAAAAAAAGAAAGAAAAAGCAAUAUUUGUUUGGAAAUCCUGACUGUUGAUAUAAAAUUUAUAAAUUUCUGUAUAAUUGAAGACCUUUAAGCAAUAUGUUACCAAUCCGGCAUAUCUCGGUGUGCUGGAACCCAGAGGCCUAUCACAAAGCCCUGGGCUAGAUCCAAGAACCGAUUUAGGUGCCACUUCUGAACACACAGUUGUAGGCACCCUCUGUCAGUACAGCACUUCAGACUCACACACAAUCCAAUCCGUCCGUGUCUGGACCCCAGGGAGAGAUGGCUCUUCGGAAACUCUCACCUGUGCAGCAGAAUUUCCUGUGACCUGUAGGAAGAGCUCAGUAGUCAGGUUCCUGCAUCACCCUUCAGUGCUGCCUCUGUCUCUCCGUCCACUGUAGCAGGAGUCCAGGCACCUCAGUGGGUGCCAAGUCCAUUGCAGGGCCCAGGCACCGAAACACCAGACUUCGAACCCACUAGGCUCCUAACUCUGUCAUUAGAUCUAGCCGCAAAGGACUUUUGU